ACUCAAAUGAAUAGACGGGGGCCCGCACAAGCGGUGGAGCAUGUGGUUUAAUUCGAUGCAACGCGAAGAACCUUACCAAGGCUUGACAUCCCAUUGACCGGUGUAGAGAUAUACCUUUCCUUCGGGACAAUGGUGACAGGUGGUGCAUGGUUGUCGUCAGCUCGUGUCGUGAGAUGUUGGGUUAAGUCCCGCAACGAGCGCAACCCUUAUUUUUAGUAGCUAACAGGUAAUGCUGAGCACUCUGGAGAGACUGCCGUGGAUAACACGGAGGAAGGUGGGGACGACGUCAAAUCAUCAUGCCCUAUAUGCCUUGGGCAACACACGUGCUACAAUGGCGGUAACAAAGUGAAGCAAGCAGGUAACUGUAAGCAAAGCACAAAAAAGCCGUCUCAGUUCGGAUUGGGGUCUGCAACUCGACCUUAUGAAGUUGGAAUCGCUAGUAAUCGCGAAUCAGCAUGUCGCGGUGAAUACGUUCCCGGGCCUUGUACACACCGCCCGU
Molecule: ribosomal RNA, 499 nt
Filed under: uncultured bacterium
Lineage: Bacteria
Description: bacterial SSU rRNA
Rfam family: Bacterial small subunit ribosomal RNA
Source: RNAcentral